GCGCACCAGUCGCGAAACCUCCGCAAUACACGAAAGUGUAACGGGGCCAUCCCGAGUGCCGUCCGCUGAGGACGGCUUUUCCCCAGUGUACAUAGCUGGGGGAAUAAGGAGAGGGCAAGCCUGGUGUCAGCCGCCGCGGUAAUACCAGCUCUCCGAGUGGCGGGGACGCUUAUUGGGCCUAAAGCAUCCGUAGCCGGCUAGGCAAGUCCUCCGUUAAAUCCAACGAUUCAAUCGUUGGGCUGCGGGGGAUACUGUCCAGCUUGGGGGGCGGGAGAGGCCGACGGUAUUCCCGGGGUAGGGGUGAAAUCCUAUAAUCCCGGGAGGACCACCAGUGGCGAAGGCUGUCGGCUAGAACGCGCCCGACGGUGAGGGAUGAAAGCUGGGGGAGCGAACCGGAUUAGAUACCCCUGUAGU
This 414-nucleotide ribosomal RNA is filed under the name uncultured microorganism. RNAcentral's name for it is "bacterial SSU rRNA". It matches the Rfam family "Archaeal small subunit ribosomal RNA", at positions 330 to 745 of the family's 1478-position model. The record is from RNAcentral.